This 395-nucleotide ribosomal RNA is filed under the name uncultured bacterium. Its description in RNAcentral is "partial 16S ribosomal RNA". It matches the Rfam family "Bacterial small subunit ribosomal RNA", at positions 338 to 730 of the family's 1533-position model. The record is from RNAcentral.
CCUACGGGUGGCUGCAGUGAGGAAUAUUGGUCAAUGGGCGAGAGCCUGAACCAGCCAAGUCGCGUGAAGGAUGACGGUCCUAUGGUUUGUAAACUUCUUUUACAUGGGAACAAAGAGCGGUACGCGUUCCUCAUCGUAUGUACCCUAUGAAUAAGCAUCGGCUAACUCCGUGCCAGCAGCCGCGGUAAUACGGAGGAUGCGAGCGUUAUCCGGAUUUAUUGGGUUUAAAGGGUGCGUAGGGGGGUAAUUAAGUCAGCGGUGAAAGUUUGGGGCUCAACCAUAAAAAAGCCGUUGAACCUGGUUGGCUAGAGUAGGUGUGAGGUAGGCGGAAUGCGUGGUGUAGCGGUGAAAUGCAUAGAUAUCACGCAGAACUCCGAUUGCGAAGGCAGCAUACU